CACGUAGGGGGCUAGCGUUAUCCGGAAUUACUGGGCGUGAAGGGUGCGUAGGUGGUUUCUUAAGUCAGAGGUGAAAGGCUACGGCUCAACCGUAGUAAGCCUUUGAAACUGAGAAACUUGAGUGCAGGAGAGGAGAGUGGAAUUCCUAGUGUAGCGGUGAAAUGCGUAGAUAUUAGGAGGAAUACCAGUUGCGAAGGCGGCUCUCUGGACUGUAACUGACACUGAGGCACGAAAGCGUGGGGAGCAAACAGGAUUAGAUACCCUGGUAGUCCCU
RNAcentral lists this ribosomal RNA (274 nucleotides) under uncultured prokaryote. RNAcentral's name for it is "partial 16S ribosomal RNA". It matches the Rfam family "Bacterial small subunit ribosomal RNA", at positions 524 to 798 of the family's 1533-position model. The record is from RNAcentral.